CAGUUUUAUUGGUGGCGGAAGCUUCAGUGCUCGUAGAAAACCACCGAACUUCGAUAGGAAAACUGACAGACAAUCCUAGUCAAUUAAGAUUGAGGCCAAGUGCACCCGCAUGAGCGGUGUUCGAACUCACAACCUCAGUGUUGACUGGCUUGUGAUUACAGUAGGUGAGCUACUUGGACCACAUGGCCACCGAAGCCCCUCCUGACUUGUGAUAAUCACCUAUAAAAUUGGCGGGCUUAAACAUAUUUUUGAGCGUUCUACCUUGGAUAGCGAUGUAAAUGCCACA
RNAcentral lists this long non-coding RNA (286 nucleotides) under Mytilus galloprovincialis (Mediterranean mussel). The record is from RNAcentral. Lineage: Eukaryota; Metazoa; Mollusca; Bivalvia; Mytilida; Mytilidae.